Rattus norvegicus (Norway rat) is the source of this 6253-nucleotide non-coding RNA. The record is from RefSeq and is a predicted model, not a curated record. Lineage: Eukaryota; Metazoa; Chordata; Mammalia; Rodentia; Muridae.
GCUUGAGGUGAGGCUGAGCUUGGCUUGCUUAUAGAGCUAGCUGUGCAACACUUGUUGGUCUCCCUUCACUGAGAAAGGCACAGCAGAGAACUUCUGGCAUGGCUCCAGGGACCUUUUACUGACUUGUGCUGAGGCUGAGGCCUGGCUGUCUCUGCCAGGUGGUACCACUGCUGCUGAUUCCUGUUUGCUAUCCUGACUCUCCUGAACUGGAAUGCUGGUAUAUUUGUGAAGUACUUGUGUCCGUUGUGGGAGGCAAGAAGAGGAAUUGGCGUCCAGGAUGGUUGCUCAUACGAUGAAGAGCGUGUUGUUCUAAUGCUUCUGUAGCUGGGGAAGUUCCUGGAAGCUUAGCUGCUCUAGAGAUUACUAGAAGUCAGGUGAUAAGGAGCUAAGAAGCAGAACCCUUGACUUCCAUGGAUGAAUGAGAUACCAUGAAGUGUUUACUUACUAAGAACAUGGAAAUGAUAUCAGAGGGAUCAUAAUCAGUUUGAGAGACAUGGACAAGAGGAAACAAAAUCAGCAAUGUUGACUAAGAGUUGGAAGCCAAUCAGAUACACAUUUGAAAUAUUAUAUGAUGCUCCAUCUAAAACUUUAGUGUGAUUUGGGACUAUUUAAGAAAUGGGAUUAUAUAACAAACAAGGGCAAAAUAGCAUACUCUAACCGGGAAUAUUGGACCUGGGGACUAAAAAGAAAUAAGUGACUGGAAGGAAUCCAAAGAAGAUCAUCAAUGGUGAUGGUUUUCAAGUAAAAUAUUAACUUUUUAGUGUAGCCAAACCACAGAAUCAGACCCAAGGGGCCUGAUACAAAUCUACAAAUAGCUCAAGGGGCUAAACACCAAGGGUAAAGAGGAAUUUUGGCUGGAGAAAUGAAAGUUAGAAUAAAGAAAAGGAAAUUUAGGUUAAACAUCAGAAGAUGUCCUUUGAUAGUAAGAUGUGUUUAUCCAACAAUUUCUUAUGGGAAUACAAAAAGAAAACUGAUAAUUUUUCUGAGAUACUUAAUAAAAGCAUACCUUGAUGUCAGACCAACUUUCACUACAAUAGCCUUGUGCCAUGACCAGAUGAAAUAACAAUUCUUUGAACCUCAAGUUUUUGUGAUAAUGUAAUGAGAAUUAAUAAUGAACAGACUGGCUUUUUAAUAAAAGGUGUCGUAAGGCUUUAGUUAAGGCUACGUGAAAAGAAAACAAACACAAACAUGCGUGACGCCACUUUCAAUACCAAUUGCUGGUAUGGAACAAAGUCUUCGAUCUGCUUUUGAUGUCAAACUAAGAGAAGAAAAACUAGGGAAGCAUCUGGAACACAUGGGCACUGGAAAAAAUUUCCUGAACAAAACACCAAUGGCUUACGCUCUAAGAUCAAGAAUCGACAAAUGGGAUCUCAUAAAACUUCAAAGCUUCUGUAAGGCAAAGGACACUGUGGUUAGGACAAAACGGCAACCAACAGAUUGGGAAAAGAUCUUUACCAAUCCUACAACAGAUAGAGGCCUUAUAUCCAAAAUAUACAAAGAACUCAAGAAGUUAGACCGCAGGGAGACAAAUAACCCUAUUAAAAAUGGGGUUCAGAGCUAAACAAAGAAUUCACAGCUGAGGGAUGCCGAAUGGCUGAGAAACACCUGAAGAAAUGUUCAACAUCUUUAGUCAUAAGGGAAAUGCAAAUCAAAACAACCCUGAGAUUUCACCUCACACCGGUGAGAAUGGCUAAGAUCAAAAACUCAGGUUAAAACCCACUUAGGCACUGCUUAUACGAGGUAUAUAGACAUAGACGUAGACAAAAACAGAAAAUAAAAAUAAAGAAAAAAUUACAAAAGAGUCUGAAGAUGAAUUUAAUAGAGUUACCCCUUUAUGAAAUUUGUCAAGGAUCAGCAUCUUGUCCUUCAUCAAAUAUAGCAUAACUUGGCAUUCAGCCAGAGUGGCCAAUAGCAGUUGAGUCUGUGUGAGCAAAUGGAGUAAGGGUGAAGAGUCAUAUUGGAUACCCUAAGUAAGAAUGAUGAUCCCACAAGUUAGGAGAACCUCAACAUAAACUUAAUACUCAGGCAGAAGAGAACAUAAAAAUACUCUUUUAAUAAAUAUAUUAUUACUAGUUAUUGUUGUUGAGAUAGGGCUUCACUGUAUCUACCUAGCAAUCCUGGAACCCAAAGAGAUUCAUCUGCCUCUGCCUCCUGAGUGCUGGUUGUAAAGAUAUGAAAUACCAUGGCUAUCACUUUAUUAUACUGAACUAACAAAUAAAAACAUCACACAGCUAGAGUAUGAUUGCCAUGCAAACAAACACAUGUCUAAUUCCAAAUUUUGUCUUCCAGUGAACUUCUAUGUACUCAGAAUAACCAUUCUGAAGCCAGGAAGAUUCCCUUAGGGCUUUCUUUUUAUUUAUGUUUAUUUAUUUAUUUAUUUAUUUAUUUAUUUAUUUAUUUAUUUACAUCCAUCUCAACUGCUACUCCCUCCCUGUCACCCUUCAAAGAGUUCCUCCCCUUUCCCCUCUUCACUUCUGAGAGGUCAGAUCUUUCACCCUGUAUCUCUCUACCCCAAAUCCCCUCACUGUGGUGUAUCAAGUCUCUGCACGAUUAGUUUCAUCCUCUCCCACUGAGAUCAGACAUGACAGCCCUCUGCUACGUAUGUGCCAAGACCUUGAACCAGCCUUUGUGUGCUCUUUGUUUGGUGGCUUAGUCUCUUAGAGCUCUCAGGAGUCCCGGUUAGUUGACACUGUUGGUCUUCCUGUGGGGUUACCAUCUCCUUGAAGACCUUCAGUCCUUCCCUAACUCUUCUAUAGGGGUCCACGACCUCUGGCAAAUGCUUAUCUGUGGUUAUCUACAUCUGUUUAACACAGCUGCUGGAUAGAGUCUCUCAGAGGGCUACUAUGCUAGGUUUCUGUCUCUGUCUGCUGUCCCAAGCAGAGCAGUUGGCUAGUUUGGAGAACUCGAAGGUUUCCAUGGGGAGGAGGGCAGGAUGAUCUUGGGGUUCUGUGAGGCUCCUCCGGAUGAGGAGCCAGGUCAGAGCUAGACAAUGGGGCUCCAGGGACAGUUUGGCCACUCACCUCUGCUGGCUCUCCCAGGCAGACCAGCUGGGUGGAGGACAGAUUCAACUAGGAUGCAUUGUUCAUCAGGGUUCCAAACUGCUUUGUUUUGGGGACCUUAAAGGUUUUCAUGGGGAAGCCAAACACUCUUGGGGUCCUGCAAGGCUAGGGAGCCAAGCCAGAGCUAGACAAUUGGGUUUUCUACUUUUAUUAUUAAUUAUAUUUUUCUUAUUGAGUUAUGUGCUGAUGAAAAUGUGGGAAUAUAAAAAUGGACGAUUAUGCUGAUAAGUAAAAUGAAAUAAUGAUAUUUAUAAGAAAAUGAAUUGACUUAGAAUGUAUAAUCUAAAUUGAGGUGACUGAAACUCAGAAGAAAAAAAUGACUAUUCUCCUUCAUAUGCAGAUACUAGCCUCAAAACUAUACAUGUUUGCAUGUAAACAACUGAGUGCAUAUAGUAAUUAUAGUAUAGUAUAGUAACUAUAGUAUAGUUAUUGAUUGUUCUAGUGCCUUGUCAACUCUGUCAUAGGUUCUUCUUCUUCCUCCUCUUCCUCCUCCUCCUCUUCCUCUUCUUCUUAGAGAUAAGUACCACCAUGAGAUAUUUUUUAAUGUUAAAAUGUCCAAAUAGUUAUCUUACAAAAAUAUUUUAUUUAAGAAGAACCAUUGUAUUUGUUCCUGUGUUUUGAAAGCACACAUAAACAACUUAUCAGCUAGCUUUCCCCACGGAGCUCCAAGUUAAUGAAUAUAGCUAUUCACUAGACAAGAAUGCUUUGACCAAUGAUGCAUCCUAUGUAUAACAUUCUAUAAGAUAUUAAUGGAGCUGAAAAAGUUGAUUGCUGCAUUGAUGCUACUAUGCAAUUCUUAAUUAGAUUGUAUGUAGUCAUAUGUGGUAUAUCUCAGCACUUAGGAGGCAAAGAGCAGAGGACUGAAAGUUGAAGAUUAGCCUAGGCUACAGAGCAAGACCUUGCCCCCAAUAAAAACAAACCCAACAAGCCCCAGUAGAACAUACAAAAUUAUAUUCAUUACCUUUAUAUACUAUAUGCGUCAAUUAUAAGGAAUUGUGUAUUUACUAUACUAUUCUUUUACUAAGUAAAAAAAUGUUUACUAUAAAUCAGGAUGUCAUGUUAAAUGGGCAGUGGCCUCAGACAUUACAAACUUGUCACAUUUCUUGGUUCUCUCAAGAUGCCACUUCAAUUGACUAAUUUAUACCAUUCAUAUUUGUGUGCACUCUAUGGUGUCCACACAAUUACAAACCACUAACAAUACACUUCUUAACCCAUGUCCACUGGUGAACCACACAUGAAUAUAUUUAAAAGACUUACUCACUGUUCCCAAGUGUGAAACGACUUCCAGGUUAAUGGUAGGUCAGGACCUAUUGUCUGCUCUAAGCCCUAGAAGUGCUGAUAGAAAAAGAGUCAUUCUAUUUGUUGGCUGUCCAACCCUGACCAGAAAUGUACCUGUAUUACACUUCUAUUCACCCAGCAAUCCUGGCAGGGUGCAUUUUCCACCUCACAGUCAUCAUACGAGCUUAGACAGUUAGAACAUAUAUAUGAAGUAGACAUUACAUUCAUAGCUGCCUUGAGUCACAAGGGGUCCCAUAAAGUGUGAUUCUGUUAACCAUCUACUCUGAAUGCCAAGACUCAAUGAGGCAUAACCGUGCAAUGAGGCAUGACUAAGCAGUGGUAUCCUAAUGCUGGAGACUAUUUCAGGUAGGUGUUUUCAACAUGAGUGAGGUUUUAUGAGGUAUUGUCACCAAAGAAAGGGCAUGCAAGACUCACCCACAUUUACUUCUACUGCAAAUUCUUUAAGGAGCCUGGAGAUAGCUAACCACAAACUCCCAAAGGUGAUUCAGUAAACUGUUAGGGAGGCCAUCAAGUGGUUUUAAGUGCUGUGGCUUCACUCAGAAGAGCUCAUGAACAAUCACAGGAAACACUUGGGACAUGCCAAGUAACCAGAAGAAAUAGCAGCACAGCGAUGGACACUUAGAAUCUCACAUUCUAUUUUCAGGCAGCAGAGCCUGUCACGAUAGUCUAUACCUUAAAUUCCCAGAUGGGGGAGACAGAGGCAGGAGGGUCUCGAAGUGAAGCUUGAGGCCAGCCUGGAACUCAGCAAAUUUCAGGCCAGCUGGGGCCUGACCAAAUUUAAAAUAAUAGUAGGCAUUGUCUUAGGAUUACUAUUGCUGUGAUGAAACACCAGGACCCAAAGCAAGAUGGAUCACAGUCCACCACUGAAGGAAGUCAGGGUAGAAACUCAAGCAGAGCAGGAAAUAGAAGGAGGAGGAGGAGGUCGGAGAUGAUUCAGAAGCCAUGGAAGGGUGCUGCUUACUGGCUUGCUCCAUAUGGCUUGCUCAGCCUGCUUACUUAUAGCACAUGGAACCUCCAGCCCAAGGAUGUCCUUGCCCACAAUCAGUGGGGGCCCUCCAGGAUCAAUCUUUAAUAAGAAAAUGCUUCACAGACUUGCCUACAGCCAAAUCUUAUGGGGACAUUUUCUCAUUUGCUCUCAAUUGAGGAUCUUUUCUCUCGGAUGACUCUAGCUUAUAUCAAAUUAAUAUAAAACUAGCCAGGACAACCACCAUCUACUCCCCCCCCACACUCACCACAAAACCCAACAAAACAAAGAAAAACAAACCCUAAAACAAAUUAUCUACACCCCGAAGCUUAUUGCCAUUCAAGCUGUCCUAAGAGUGUGGUCUCCUGCAGUUACAAAGAGAAAUCUAGGCUACAGGAGAAACCGGGAUAGGAUGUCCCAUGCUUUUAUGUAGGUGAUAAAAUUUUCUGCUAAUUUCAUGACAUGCCUUUUUCUAAUUAAUCGAUGCUAAAUAUUUAAUACUAAAUAGUAAAGCACCAAGGAACUUCAAGGUGGCAUUGUAAAAAGGCACAGUAAAGUAAUCCAGCUCUGCAUCCAGCAUCACAGGAAUAAGUUCCUCUAAAAAUCAAACGUGAACAGUUGCUGGUAUUAGUAACCUCGUUAUACACUUUUAAAAGAAACGAUAACGUUCCAUUUUUAUUUGUAGUCAGUUAUCAUUACCCCACAUAUUUUGUUUUGUUUUGAACACAGGGAACCACAUGAAGUAGCAUUCACUUAUUUCCAACAUUCAGACCAAUCCCUGCAGUCCCUGCAGAGAUGAUUGUAAGAUGCCUAGCAAAAUUAAGUGUGACAACAGAAAGCCCCACAAGAGGCAGGCAAGGCUUGGCGUUUUGUACAUUCCAUGAGUGGGAAAGUGGGAAAAGCUGCUUCAGGUCCGUUUCCAAGCCAGGAG